This 468-nucleotide ribosomal RNA is filed under the name uncultured bacterium. Its description in RNAcentral is "partial 16S ribosomal RNA". It matches the Rfam family "Bacterial small subunit ribosomal RNA", at positions 28 to 507 of the family's 1533-position model. The record is from RNAcentral.
GACGAACGCUGGCGGCGUGCUUAACACAUGCAAGUCGAACGGAAAGGCCCUGCUUUUGUGGCGUGCUCGAGUGGCGAACGGGUGAGUAUCACGUGAGUAACCUGUCCUUGACUUUGGGAUAACUUCAGGAAACUCGGGCGAAUAUCCGGCAUAAGCUCCUUCUGCAUGGGGGGUAUGGGUGAGUUUCGGCGUUUGGGGAUGGACUCGAGGUAUAUCAGCGUGUUGGUGGGGUAGUGGCGUACCAAGGCUCUGACGGGUAGCCGGACUGAGAGGGUGACCGGCCACACUGGGACUGAGAAAGCGCCAAGACUGAUACGGGAGGAAGCGGCGGGGGAUAUUGCACGAUGGGCGGAAGCCGGAUGCAGCAACGCCGCGUGCGAGAUGACGGCCUGCGGGUUGUAAACCGCUUUCGCCUGGGACGAAGAGCGAGUGACGGUAAUGGGUAAAGAAGCAACGGCUAACUACGUG